GGCCGGGUGGUGUAGCGGUUAUCACACCAGCUUUACAAGAUGCAAGUCUUCGAUCGCUGUUGGUCGCGAGUUCGAUCCUCGCCCUGGUCA
Molecule: transfer RNA, 90 nt
Organism: Blumeria graminis f. sp. tritici 96224
Lineage: Eukaryota; Fungi; Ascomycota; Leotiomycetes; Helotiales; Erysiphaceae
Rfam family: tRNA
About the family: Transfer RNA (tRNA) molecules are approximately 80 nucleotides in length.
Source: Rfam